AAAAUUUCUUCUUGCUCAGAGUUUGGUUUCAGCACAUUUCACAUUUAACUCCACAUCUUCGUCUUUGUAGAGAAAACUUGGAAUAUGAUACUUUUUGGAUUUGGUGGUGAUGAAAUUAAAAGCUACAGCAGCACAUGCUAGGGGUUUUGCUGGCCAAGCAUCCGGUGGCGCAAAGGGUAGCCAGGCAAAGUGUCACGACUUUGGACACACUCCAACGCUACCGUGCCGGCACUCGGACUUACUCAAUCUUUUGAGCUAAGACCAAGUCAGCCUAACCCUCAAUACUUAGCAAGAAAGCUAAGAAUACAAAAAAACACAAGAGAAAUAAAAUUUUGGUGGAAGAACACUUUAUUGCUUAAGUGUUUGUUACAAAUGAUUCACACACAUCUCACACUACUACUCUUCAUACUUUUAUAUCCAUCUACACUCUUCUAGAACCUUCUAGGGUAUUCCGGGACCUUCUAGGACAUUCUAGAACGUUUCGGAACCAUUUAGAGCAUUCUCAAAUACUUUAGAAAACUCUACAAACACUGUUAAAUUUAAUCUUAUAAAAUUUACCGUGACAUUCUCCCCCACCUAAUGCGCAGACGUCCUCGUCGCGUUUUGUUCAUGGUAGCGUUCUAGGUGUUCUUGGAAUUGCCACAGAUCUUCACGAGCUUCCCAGCUAGCUUCGGUUAUGGGAAGUCCUUUCCAC
Molecule: long non-coding RNA, 694 nt
Filed under: Arachis ipaensis
Lineage: Eukaryota; Viridiplantae; Streptophyta; Magnoliopsida; Fabales; Fabaceae
Description: long non-coding RNA (AIPA_LNC000490)
Source: RNAcentral